Molecule: ribosomal RNA, 460 nt
Filed under: uncultured bacterium
Lineage: Bacteria
Description: partial 16S ribosomal RNA
Rfam family: Bacterial small subunit ribosomal RNA
Source: RNAcentral
CCUACGGGUGGCAGCAGUGAGGAAUAUUGGUCAAUGGGCGCGAGCCUGAACCAGCCAAGUCGCGUGAGGGAAGACGGUCCUAUGGAUUGUAAACCUCUUUUGUCGGGGAGCAAAAUACGCCACGUGUGGCUUUUCGAGAGUACCCGAAGAAUAAGCAUCGGCUAACUCCGUGCCAGCAGCCGCGGUAAUACGGAGGAUGCGAGCGUUAUCCGGAUUUAUUGGGUUUAAAGGGUGCGUAGGCGGAUUGAUAAGUUAGAGGUGAAAUGUCCGAGCUUAACUAGGGAACUGCCUCUAAUACUGGUGAUCGAGAGAGUAGGUGCGGUAGGCGGAAUGUAUGGUGUAGCGGUGAAAUGCUUAGAGAUCAUACAGAACACCGAUUGCGAAGGCAGCUUACCAAUCUAUAUCUGACGUUGAGGCACGAAAGCGUGGGGAGCAAACAGGAUUAGAUACCCUUGUAGUC